This 875-nucleotide long non-coding RNA is filed under the name Nicotiana benthamiana. RNAcentral describes it as "long non-coding RNA (NBEN_LNC015675)". The record is from RNAcentral. Lineage: Eukaryota; Viridiplantae; Streptophyta; Magnoliopsida; Solanales; Solanaceae.
AAGGACCUCUAGAUAUAGCAUCCUAUUUUAACAAACUCAAAGGGUUAUGGGAUGAGUUAGGAGCAGUAUGCACAAAUCAUGGCCAAAGAUGUAUUUGUGCUGCCAAACCUGGUAUCAUAAAGGAGGAUGAGGAGACUAAGGUGUUUCAAUUCCUCAUGGGCCUUAAUGAGACAUAUAUGGGGGUGAGUAGCAACUUGCUGAUGAUGCAGCCUCCUCGUAGUCUUGACAGUGUCUAUAACAUUCUCCUCAAUGAUGAAAAACAAAGACAAGUUCAGUCUAUUUCCCGGUUCAAUCCUGACUCUAUGUCCUUCAGUGUCAACACACACAAAACUUCUACACCUUCUUUCUGUAAAUUUGCAUUGCCCAACUCUUCUCCUCUCAGACAGUAUGCCAGAGAGUUACUUUUGAUCAAUCCAAAGGACCUCUCUUCUGUAGAUUAUUUAAGAAGUCUGGGAACUUAAUUGAUAAGUGUUACAAACUUCAUGGAUUUCCUCAAAGCAUCAGGUUAAACAAAGGGAAGAGAACUACUGCUGCCCAUGUAACCAUUGGUGUUGAUUUCACCUCCUUCCCUUCUUCUGAUGGACACAAUUCUUAUGCUUCAGGAAAUCACAUUGAGGGUCAUUCAUCUGUCCAACAUGUGGAUGGACAUGGUUCUGUAAUCCCUGGAUUGAGCAGGCAACAUUAUGAUCAAUUGAUGAAUCUGCUGCAACAUUCCAAAUUGGGUGACUCCACUGCUCAGACUUCUCCUGCUCAGACCUCUCCUCCUAUGUGUGCUGCCAACUUUGCUGGUACUUAAAUUGGGCGACUCCACUGCUCAGAAUUCUCCUGCUCAUACCUCUCCUCCUAUGUGUGCUGCCAACUUUGCUGGUACUAUG